CGAACGGGUGAGUAACGCGUGAGGAACCUGCCUCAAAGAGGGGGACAACAGUUGGAAACGACUGCUAAUACCGCAUAAGCCCACGGCUCGGCAUCGAGCAGAGGGAAAAGGAACAAUCCGCUUUGAGAUGGCCUCGCGUCCGAUUAGCUAGUUGGUGAGGUAACGGCCCACCAAGGCGACGAUGCGUAGCCGACCUGAGAGGGUGACCGGCCACACUGGGACUGAGACACGGCCCAG
This 237-nucleotide ribosomal RNA is filed under the name uncultured bacterium. RNAcentral's name for it is "partial 16S ribosomal RNA". It matches the Rfam family "Bacterial small subunit ribosomal RNA", at positions 99 to 334 of the family's 1533-position model. The record is from RNAcentral.